RNAcentral lists this long non-coding RNA (2848 nucleotides) under Aquilegia coerulea. RNAcentral describes it as "long non-coding RNA (ACOE_LNC002106)". The record is from RNAcentral. Lineage: Eukaryota; Viridiplantae; Streptophyta; Magnoliopsida; Ranunculales; Ranunculaceae.
AGUGAACCGCGUAGUUCGCUCUUUACUUCUUUUAGUCACUACAUGUCUACAUCUCUCUCUCUUUCUCUCUCUGCGCUAUAACCAUGAAUGAAAUCUUGUUAAAUUCUAGGGUUUCUUCACAUCUAAAUAUGUAGAAAAUCUCAAACUGCAACAAUUUCAGGUUUGAUUCGCUUUCUCUUCUCUUCUGCUCUUUGUGUUUCAUACUACAUAAGAAUUAUCUUGAGAUGAAGUAUGAAUGCCUAAAAAUUUCAUCUAUGCUCUUCGAGAAAAAUUAAAGUAUUUGUAUCACCUUUGUUUAUAGUUCUAUAUGACUAGCAAACAUUUAUUUAAUUUGUAGUUAUACAAGCUGAAAAUGAUAAUUUACUAAUAAAUGCCACUAAAUUGCAGAAUGGAUUUGUGGAAUGAUUAGAAUAAUACAAUGAAAAUUGACAAUUGUGUGUUUUUUAGAGCCUAACUUAUAUGUGUAAAUAGCUGACUCAAGGCUUUGUAUCAGUUUGAUUAAUUCAGUUGCGCAAGCAACUUAAGUUGGGUUUUCCGUGGGGGUGCACUAUUGCAGUAUUGCACUAGUCUUUAUCUUAAUUAAUAAGGAACAAUAAUAAACUAAUAUAGUAUGAUCCAAAAUGUCUUCAGUCUUUAGGUAAUUGUAAUUUAGUAAUUUACCUUAGGGUCUGUUUGAUUCGAGCGGUAAACUGAUUUACCGGUGAAAAUGGAGGACACGGGUUGGAAUUUAUGAAAUCAGAGAACUGGAGAAGAAGAUAAGUCACGAAGUGAGAGGGAAGAUCUCUUCUUACUAUAUUGCACAAUUACUAAUCUACCCCUCCGAAAAAUUUACCGGGAAAGAAUCCCACUCGAAUCAAACAGACCCUAAAGUGUAUUAUCAUUUUGGUGGAAAAUAUAGAUGGAAGAUUCAUACGAUUAUAGCUUCUAUGUGAAGGCAGGCAUCUCAUCCUUUCCAAAACUGAAACUUUGUUCCAAAUUGAUUGAUCAACUUUCGUAUCGUUUAUUUCUAUGGUUUUAGAAUGCUGUAGGUAGAUUUAAAGGCUCCUUAUAUAGGCUGUAUUCAUAAUAUACUUAAUAGAUUUGAUAUAUUCAGUUGAAAUUUUUUCUUAAAUCUUGAAUGAGUACUGUUUUCGCUGAGUACAUGAUAGUUAUCUCAAAGUUCAAAAACUCCUGAUGAUAUGCGACUCGUGAUUUUUGUAAUUAGUUGUUAGAUCAGAAGAAUGGUAGAAUCACCAUAGUGCUUAAAUCCUACAGUGGCUAUGGACUAUGGAGACUCUGUGGUUAUCCCUGCUAAUGUAUUAUCAUAUAGAGUUUGUAUAGGAUCUUGCCUCGAACAUACAAGUGAAGGGUGCACAGAGUAUUACAAUAUGCUGUAGAAGGUAGUGAUUGUUUUUUUUUUCUUAAGCCACAAAUUGGAAUGGAGCAUUAAUUGUAGAUGACCGUAGAGUUUGCUCAUCAUAAUAUAAGAACACUAUCUGAGACCUUUGCAUAUUCUCCAAGUCUUGUAUAGUUCUCUUUGCAUGAUCGGCGUUUACGCAGGCUACUACUUAUCAUUUUAAUUCUUUGUAUCAAUGUAACAUUUGGGUAUGUGAAUUAAUUAAUUUACGAGGGAAGAAAAGUGAGCUUCUGCAGUUGUUUCUUCAGUGGAUGUUUUUGACAUUGUAAAUUUUGCUUUGAUUGUCCAUAACUUUUGAUUUUUUUCGUUUAUUCUGUUGUAGAAAUGACUGUCUGCAGUUGGGAGUUCCAACUAUGGAGAUGGUACUUCUCACUUUGAACUCUGACAUUCACCCUCAUCAGGCAAUGAACGGAUCCAAGGUACUGUACUCUGGUUAUCUGUCAUUGUUGUUUGUGAUUAUUGUUCGCUGAUUAUGUUUAAAAUUUGCAAACGAGAAUGGGAAUGAGCUUGUACAAUGAUAUAAAAUUGUUAGAGAUGCGGAAUAAACGUUUGACAUUAUAAAGACAAUUAGUUGAUUGCUGAACUAAUGUCAUUUGGAUGACAAGUGGAAUUAAGUCCAAGCAAGAAAAACAGUGGAACAUGGCAUCACAUGGAGAAAUAAUUCAUGUCAUUGAGCAAUUAGUGAGAUGGGUUUUUCUUUUUGGAAAGAGAGGAGAGGGUCGGGGAGCGUGGAUGGAGGAUAGGUAGAAACAGGUUUUUUGCUGAUCCUGGAAACAGAUCCCAGUAUAUGGGAGAGUGACUAGUGGAGUGGCUCCCGGGCAAAAGAAGAGUCAUGGCAGAACCGCACCCUAAUAAAAACAAUAUACAAUAUAGGUUUACUCAGUAUUCAUACAAUAUGCAUCUUAAUGUGCUGACAUGUGUUUUCCUCUUUUGUCACCUUUUCACAUGUUGAAUGGGAAGUUUAGGUGGAUGUAGAGACUAAUUCAAAGAUGAUAGAGGGAUCUGAUACUUGGAGUGAUGACAAGACUAAGGAUGAACAGAGACGUUAAUUGAUUGAAAUUAUUUCAUUAGUUAUUCUUUGGUGUAUGUUCCAUAAGAUGUAAUCUGUACUAUUUGCUGAGUUGUAAACCAAUACAUAAUGAUUAAUUUUGUAGCUAUUGUUUGUUAAUGGUGAAACAAGUUACAUUAUGGCAUGUACUUUGUUUACCCAUUUUAUCUUUAUUCAUGAUUAGUCUUCAUCAAUUACUCAUGCGUUAAAUAAUGUAUUAGCACAUAAUCUCAACUUUUGAAGUCCCUAAUUUUAGUACUUGGAUGGGAUCUGAUAUUUAGAUCAUAAGAAUUAGUAUGCUUUAUUUAGUUUUGGGCUAUGCUUUCAGUCCUGUCAUAUUAUUAGUAAGAUGAAAAGUAGUUGGUUGAGAUUUCUUCCCUAGGAGGCUAGGAUGACUUGUUCUA